This 88-nucleotide transfer RNA is filed under the name Dehalococcoidia bacterium. RNAcentral describes it as "tRNA-Tyr". It matches the Rfam family "tRNA". From Rfam's summary of the family: Transfer RNA (tRNA) molecules are approximately 80 nucleotides in length. Their secondary structure includes four short double-helical elements and three loops (D, anti-codon, and T loops). Further hydrogen bonds mediate the characteristic L-shaped molecular structure. tRNAs have two regions of fundamental functional importance: the anti-codon, which is responsible for specific mRNA codon recognition, and the 3' end, to which the tRNAs corresponding amino acid is attached (by aminoacyl-tRNA synthetases). tRNAs cope with the degeneracy of the genetic code in two manners: having more than one tRNA (with a specific anti-codon) for a particular amino acid; and 'wobble' base-pairing, i.e. permitting non-standard base-pairing at the 3rd anti-codon position. Lineage: Bacteria; Bacillati; Chloroflexota; Dehalococcoidia. The record is from RNAcentral.
GGAGGGGUGGGUGAGCGGCUAAUACCAGCAGACUGUAAAUCUGCCGCCUGAGAUGGCUUCGUAGGUUCGAAUCCUACCCCCUCCACCA